CUCUAAGAUGAGUCCGCGUAAGAUUAGCUAGUUGGUGAGGUAAUGGCUCACCAAGGCGACGAUCUUUAACUGGUCUGAGAGGAUGAUCAGUCACACUGGAACUGAGACACGGUCCAGACUCCUACGGGAGGCAGCAGUAGGGAAUAUUGCACAAUGGAGGAAACUCUGAUGCAGCGACGCCGCGUGAGUGAUGAAGGCCUUCGGGUCGUAAAGCUCUGUCGCAGGGGAAUAACACAAUGAAUGUACCCUGUAAGAAAGGAUCGGCUAACUUCGUGCCAGCAGCCGCGGUAAGACGAGGGAUCCUAGCGUUGUUCGGAAUUAUUGGGCGUAAAGCGGAUGUAGGUGGCUUUGUAAGUCAGAUGUGAAAGCCCAGGGCUCAACCCUGGAAGUGCAUUUGAUACUGCGAAGCUUGAGUGUCGGAGAGGUUACUAGAAUUGU
This 438-nucleotide ribosomal RNA is filed under the name uncultured Bdellovibrio sp. Its description in RNAcentral is "bacterial SSU rRNA". It matches the Rfam family "Bacterial small subunit ribosomal RNA", at positions 218 to 670 of the family's 1533-position model. Lineage: Bacteria; Pseudomonadati; Bdellovibrionota; Bdellovibrionia; Bdellovibrionales; Pseudobdellovibrionaceae. The record is from RNAcentral.